CACGUAGGGCGCAAGCGUUGUCCGGAAUCAUUGGGCGUAAAGCGCGCGUAGGUGGCUUCGUAAGUCCGUUGUGAAAGUCAAAGGCUCAACCUUUGAAUGCCGAUGGAUACUGCGGAGCUAGAGUACGGAAGAGGCGAGUGGAAUUCCUGGUGUAGCGGUGAAAUGCGCAGAUAUCAGGAGGAACACCAAUUGCGAAGGCAGCUCGCUGGGACGUUACUGACGCUGAGACGCGAAAGCGUGGGGAGCAAACAGG
This 253-nucleotide ribosomal RNA is filed under the name uncultured bacterium. RNAcentral describes it as "partial 16S ribosomal RNA". It matches the Rfam family "Bacterial small subunit ribosomal RNA", at positions 524 to 776 of the family's 1533-position model. The record is from RNAcentral.